Molecule: ribosomal RNA, 117 nt
Organism: Synechococcus sp. JA-2-3B'a(2-13)
Lineage: Bacteria; Bacillati; Cyanobacteriota; Cyanophyceae; Synechococcales; Synechococcaceae
Source: Rfam
CCUGGUGCCUAUGGCGAUGUGGAACCACGCCGACCCAUCCCGAACUCGGACGUGAAACGCAUCAGCGGCGAACCUACUGGCAGGGCGACCUGCUGGCAACCUAGCUCGGUGCCAGAC